GACGAACGCUGGCGGCGUGCUUAACACAUGCAAGUCGAACGGACAGGCCCUGCUUUUGUGGGGUGGUCGAUUGGCGAACGGGUGAGUAACACGUGUGUAACCUGCCCUUGACUUUGGGAUAACUUCACGAAACUGGGGCUCAUACCGGAUAGGAUCUCUUGCUGCAUGGUGGGGGUUGGUAAGUUUCGGCGGUUGGGGAUGGUCUCGCAGCUUAUCAGCUUGUUGGUGGGGUAGUGGCUUACCAAGGCUUUGACGGGUACCCGGCCUGAGAGGGUGACCGGCCACAUUGGGACUGAGAUACGGCCCAGAAUCCUACGGGAGGCAGCAGUGGGGAGUAUUGCACAAUGGGCGGAAGCCUGAUGCAGCAACGCCGCGUGCGGGAUGACGGCCUUCGAGUUGUAAACCGCUUUCGCAGGUGACGAAGCGUGAGUGACGGUAAUUGGUAAGGAAGCACCGGCUAACUACGUG
This 468-nucleotide ribosomal RNA is filed under the name uncultured bacterium. RNAcentral describes it as "partial 16S ribosomal RNA". It matches the Rfam family "Bacterial small subunit ribosomal RNA", at positions 28 to 507 of the family's 1533-position model. The record is from RNAcentral.